AGUGAACUUCGUUUGAGGCGGUAUCCUUUUUUGAGACAAUUUUUCUUUGUCUCAAAAAAAGAUAUAGCCGAAAGCGGGAUUAGCU
RNAcentral lists this small RNA (85 nucleotides) under Flavobacterium sp. 9. RNAcentral's name for it is "Flavo-1 RNA". It matches the Rfam family "Flavo-1 RNA". The record is from RNAcentral. Lineage: Bacteria; Pseudomonadati; Bacteroidota; Flavobacteriia; Flavobacteriales; Flavobacteriaceae.